ACACCCCUUUGUCUUUUCUUCUUCUCCGGCAAAGCAAACAAAUGCGAUCAAAACCCUAACUCCUCAAUGAACACUGGAAUGAUAGACAAAACUACGAAGGAGAAAGCUCCCGAUCGUUGAAGGGUAUCGGUUCCUUGCAUGAAGAGGUGCAAUUGAUGGUACAUCUUGCGGCAAAUAGAACGAUCAAUCACAGGAGGGACAUAACUUGGAGAAAGUUGGUGGAUUGUGGGAUAAAAAUAGGAACUUUCCGACACGGGGAGCGUUAGGUGUCCUGUCAUUGGAGGUGUUUCCUAUUGUGUGGUUCAUUUUAUGAGAUCACCAAUGCUUACUAAUCGAGGAAAGCAAAAUUAAACUUGCAAGAGCACAAGAGACAAGCAAAAGGAAGAAUCGCAUACCAGCUGAGGAAAAGGAAGGAAGCGCGCAGCUCAGGAGCACCUCUUCUAUUGUCCAAUUGUAAUUGAGCUGAAAAAGGGGCAAGGAAGAACUCUAACUCCAUUUUUAUAUUGGGGGAAAAGACUAGGGAGGGUGAAUGAAACAACUGCAGAGAUAGGUGAGAAAGACAGGACAGAGGAAGAGGGGAAUUAAGGUUGUGGGAACCUGGGAAACAUUUGCCCAAAAUGGUGCCAUGACAGCGUUCCAUCAAAUAUUUUACGAAAAAUUAACAUUUUGAUGUGUGCUGUAAAAAUUCGAAAAUUUCAUAUCAUGUCAUGAAAGUAUUUGCAUUUUUUAUGUGCGGUUAAAAGAACUAAAAAUCAAUGAUGUGUAGGUGCAAUUUACCCUGGUUUAUAUUGGCUGCGUUUUAUUGCAAAUAAAAUAUUUCAAGGUAUUUAAAAUAAAAGAUGUGAAGAUAUAUAAUUAGAAAACUACGUGACUGCAUUACCUUACCGAAUUUGAACAUUCUGAUUGGGUCACAUCAGCCCGAUUCAGUACCCGGUAAACAUGCGCGGGCACAGUAGAAACGUCCUUCAGUCGAAUGUUGUUCUUUUCCUUGGAUUUCGUGCAGUGGCAGCUCCGGUGGAGAAAGAGACCUCCCCGCCGUCACAUCCAAACACCACCACCCCCCACUCGACUUCAUCACGACCUGCCUCCAUCCUUGCGCCGCACUCACUACCUUCCAUCCACAACGAUGACAGAGAGCUCGUCGGGUUGUCCAUCGAGCCGUACCGAAGUUCGACCAAUAUUCUUCCGGCAAGAGCUCCGCUACCAAGUCAUACGCCGGCCAUCUCGAACAGGCUCGCCUUGCCGUGGAUUACGAGAAGCUCCAGUGUCUCCAUAUCUGGGCACCCCAACGAGAUCAAUGAAAUCAGAAUGGACAUUGCAUCCCUCCAAUUUGCCCACGAAGUACUCAACCAACGACUCAACUGCUCAGUCUCCUCACUGACCACAAAUGCGUGACUGCUACCGCCGUCUCGGCCUCAUCGAACCUGGAUCUGACUUUAGCGGAGACGAGCUGUCCAAUAAUCGUCCAACCAGCGUUGUGGAACAAAGCCGCUUUGAGAUGACUGAUCCGGAGAGGGUUUGGCCUCCGAAGACCUUUUCAGUCCGGUCCAGCAGCUAUUCAAGGCCAAUCAAUCGGCUACAAACGGAGCUGGCUCGAGUCGGACGGCGAGUCAGCCCCGAGCAGCUACUGAACUUGAAGCUGGAAAGCAGCAGAUGUAUCUGCCUGGAUCAAAUACGGCGUACGUUCAGGGGAUGUUCAAGACAGAACUGUGCAACAACCGGUAGGAGACCAGCGAUUGCCCGUAUAAAGACCAUUGCCAGUUCGCCCACGGCAUAGCAGAGCUGAGGCCAGUGAUCAAGCACCCACUCUACAAGACAGAAGUCAGCAAGAAUAUCCUUGAAUGGGGUUACUGCCCUUACGGCCAGUGCUGCCACUUCUGCCACCCCUGCACCGACCAGUAGAUGAUGCUUGCUGGGGCUUCACCACGUUGAGCCUACUCUGACUGACUCCUCCCAUGUUCCUCUGGUCUGGUCUGGUGAGUUUCCCUACAUCAAACUCUAUAUGGCAUCAAUUCUUUUUGUUAAUGAUUUCUGGGGGAACUUUGAUAGUUAAGUCUGCUGCCCUGCUGUACAUAUAUAGUGCAUAUAUACCGUACAUUGAUGGAGGCGAAGUUAUCAUCAAGUAUAAGGAAUAAUGACUCCUAGGCUAGUACGCCGAAGGGAACUACAAUGAGGUGUUGUAGAAGACAAUGCUGAAAACAUUUUGGUAGAUGAUACGAUGCAUAUAUUGAUUGUUUGGCUUUUGGCUGGUGCUCUCUC
Molecule: non-coding RNA, 2259 nt
Organism: Punica granatum (pomegranate)
Lineage: Eukaryota; Viridiplantae; Streptophyta; Magnoliopsida; Myrtales; Lythraceae
Source: RefSeq, a predicted model, not a curated record